Molecule: ribosomal RNA, 400 nt
Filed under: uncultured bacterium
Lineage: Bacteria
Description: partial 16S ribosomal RNA
Rfam family: Archaeal small subunit ribosomal RNA
Source: RNAcentral
AUACCAGCUCUCCGAGUGGUGUGGACGUUUAUUGGGCCUAAAGCAUCCGUAGCUGGCUGAACAAGUCCCCUGUUAAACCCACCGAUUUAAUCGUUGGUGUGCGGGGGAUACUGCUCGGCUAGGGGACGAGAGAGGCAGACGGUAUUCCCGGGGUAGGGGUGAAAUCCUAUAAUCCCGAGAAGACCACCAGUGGCGAAGGCUGUCUGCUAGAACGCGCCCGACGGUGAGGGAUGAAAGCUGGGGGAGCGAACCGGAUUAGAUACCCGGGUAGUCCCAGCUGUAAACGAUGCAGACUAGGUGUUUGGACGGCCACGUGCCGUUCUAGUGCCGCAGGGAAGCUGUUAAGUCUGCCGCCUGGGGAGUACGAUCGCAAGAUUGAAACUUAAAGGAAUUGACGGGG